This 253-nucleotide ribosomal RNA is filed under the name uncultured bacterium. RNAcentral describes it as "partial 16S ribosomal RNA". It matches the Rfam family "Bacterial small subunit ribosomal RNA", at positions 524 to 776 of the family's 1533-position model. The record is from RNAcentral.
UACGUAGGGUGCUAGCGUUGUCCGGAUUUAUUGGGCGUAAAGAGCGUGUAGGCGGCUUGGUAAGUCCGCUGUGAAAGUCCAGGGCUCAACCCUGGAAUGCCGGUGGAAACUGUCAAGCUUGAGUCCGGAAGAGGCGAGUGGAAUUCCUGGUGUAGCGGUGAAAUGCGCAGAUAUCAGGAGGAACACCAAUGGCGAAGGCAGCUCGCUGGGACGGUACUGACGCUGAGACGCGAAAGCGUGGGGAGCAAACAGG